CAGGACUUGACAUCCCUCUGACAGUCUCUUAACCGAGACGUCCUUCGGGCAGAGGUGACAGGUGGUGCAUGGUUGUCGUCAGCUCGUGUCGUGAGAUGUUGGGUUAAGUCCCGCAACGAGCGCAACCCUUGUCUUUAGAUGCCAUCAUUUAGUUGGGCACUCUAGAGAGACUGCCGAGGAUAAACCGGAGGAAGGUGGGGAUGACGUCAAAUCAUCAUGCCCCUUAUGUCUUGGGCUACACACGUGCUACAAUGGUCGGUACAACGGGGUGCGAAGGAGCGAUCCGGAGCGAAUCCCAAGAAGCCGAUCUCAGUUCGGAUUGCAGGCUGCAACUCGCCUGCAUGAAGUUGGAGUUGCUAGUAAUCGCGAAUCAGAACGUCGCGGUGAAUGCGUUCCC
RNAcentral lists this ribosomal RNA (397 nucleotides) under uncultured bacterium. RNAcentral's name for it is "bacterial SSU rRNA". It matches the Rfam family "Bacterial small subunit ribosomal RNA", at positions 975 to 1375 of the family's 1533-position model. The record is from RNAcentral.